GGAAAAGUAAAGUCGUAACAAGGUCUCCGUUGGUGAACCAGCGGAGGGAUCAUUA
Molecule: ribosomal RNA, 55 nt
Filed under: Colletotrichum magnum
Lineage: Eukaryota; Fungi; Ascomycota; Sordariomycetes; Glomerellales; Glomerellaceae
Description: partial 18S ribosomal RNA
Rfam family: Eukaryotic small subunit ribosomal RNA
Source: RNAcentral